This 608-nucleotide ribosomal RNA is filed under the name uncultured bacterium. RNAcentral's name for it is "bacterial SSU rRNA". It matches the Rfam family "Bacterial small subunit ribosomal RNA", at positions 338 to 950 of the family's 1533-position model. The record is from RNAcentral.
CCUACGGGAGGCAGCAGUGAGGAAUAUUGGACAAUGGGCGCAAGCCUGAUCCAGCCAUGCCGCGUGCAGGAAGACGGUCCUAUGGAUUGUAAACUGCUUUUGUACAGGAAGAAACACUCCCUCGUGAGGGAGCUUGACGGUACUGUAAGAAUAAGGAUCGGCUAACUCCGUGCCAGCAGCCGCGGUAAUACGGAGGAUCCAAGCGUUAUCCGGAAUCAUUGGGUUUAAAGGGUCCGUAGGCGGUUUAAUAAGUCAGUGGUGAAAUCUGGUCGCUCAACGAUCAAACGGCCAUUGAUACUGUUAGACUUGAAUUAUUAGGAAGUAACUAGAAUAUGUAGUGUAGCGGUGAAAUGCUUAGAUAUUACAUGGAAUACCAAUUGCGAAGGCAGGUUACUACUAAUGGAUUGACGCUGAUGGACGAAAGCGUGGGGAGCGAACAGGAUUAGAUACCCUGGUAGUCCACGCCGUAAACGAUGGAUACUAGCUGUUCGGAGCAAUCUGAGUGGCUAAGCGAAAGUGAUAAGUAUCCACCUGGGGAGUACGUUCGCAAGAAGAGAAGUAAAGAAGUAGUACGAGUGAGAGAGACGACGACGACGACGAGGAGGAGG